CGCGUAGGCGGUUUGCCAAGUCCGGGGUGAAAUCUUUCGGCUCAACCGGAAAAGUGCCUUGGAUACUGGCGAACUUGAGGGAGGUAGGGGCAUGUGGAACUUCCGGUGGAGCGGUGAAAUGCGUUGAUAUCGGAAGGAACGCCGGUGGCGAAAGCGACGUGCUGGCCCUCUUCUGACGCUGAGGCGCGAAAGCUAGGGGAGCAAACGG
This 208-nucleotide ribosomal RNA is filed under the name uncultured bacterium. Its description in RNAcentral is "partial 16S ribosomal RNA". It matches the Rfam family "Bacterial small subunit ribosomal RNA", at positions 568 to 775 of the family's 1533-position model. The record is from RNAcentral.